RNAcentral lists this ribosomal RNA (700 nucleotides) under uncultured bacterium. RNAcentral describes it as "bacterial SSU rRNA". It matches the Rfam family "Bacterial small subunit ribosomal RNA", at positions 94 to 773 of the family's 1533-position model. The record is from RNAcentral.
AGUGGCAAACGGGUGAGUAACGCGUGGGCGACCUACCUUCGAGUGGGGGAUAACCUUCCGAAAGGAGGGCUAAUACCGCAUGACAUCCCGUGUUUGGAUACACGGAGAUCAAAGCCGGGGAUCGCAAGACCUGGCGUUUGGAGAGGGGCCCGCGUCCGAUUAGCUAGUUGGUGAGGUAACGGCUCACCAAGGCUCCGAUCGGUAUCCGGCCUGAGAGGGCGGACGGACACACUGGAACUGAGACACGGUCCAGACUCCUACGGGAGGCAGCAGUGGGGAAUUGUUCGCAAUGGGCGAAAGCCUGACGACGCAACGCCGCGUGGAGGAUGAAGACCUUCGGGUCGUAAACUCCUUUCGACCGAGAUGAAUUCCCUCCGACCUAACACGUCGGAGGGGUGACAGUAUCGAGGGAAGAAGCCCCGGCUAACUCUGUGCCAGCAGCCGCGGUAAUACAGGGGGGGCAAGCGUUGUUCGGAAUUACUGGGCGUAAAGGGUUUGUAGGUGGCUUGCUAAGUCAGACGUGAAAUCCCUCAGCUUAACCGGGGAACUGCGUCUGAUACUGGAGAGCUUGAGUGCAGGAGAGGAACGCGGAAUUCCAGGUGUAGCGGUGAAAUGCGUAGAUAUCUGGAGGAACACCGGUGGCGAAGGCGGCGUUCUGGACUGCAACUGACACUGAGAAACGAAAGCCAGGGGAGCAAAC